This 29-nucleotide small RNA is filed under the name Bombyx mori (domestic silkworm). RNAcentral's name for it is "ovarian small RNA-38204". Lineage: Eukaryota; Metazoa; Arthropoda; Insecta; Lepidoptera; Bombycidae. The record is from RNAcentral.
UUGUUUGGGCGCCGUGGGCGGAUCCACAG